RNAcentral lists this ribosomal RNA (459 nucleotides) under uncultured Treponema sp. RNAcentral describes it as "partial 16S ribosomal RNA". It matches the Rfam family "Bacterial small subunit ribosomal RNA", at positions 341 to 792 of the family's 1533-position model. The record is from RNAcentral. Lineage: Bacteria; Pseudomonadati; Spirochaetota; Spirochaetia; Treponematales; Treponemataceae.
ACGGGAGGCAGCAGCUAGGAAUAUUCCGCAAUGGACGAAAGUCUGACGGAGCGACGCUGCGUGGAUGAUGAAGGUCGAAAGAUUGUAAAAUCCUUUUAGGAGUGAAGAAUAAGCGGUGCAGGGAAUGGCAUCACGGUGACGGUAGCUCCUGAAUAAGCAACGGCUAACUACGUGCCAGCAGCCGCGGUAACACGUAAGUUGCGAGCGUUGUUCGGAAUUAUUGGGCGUAAAGGGUAUGUAGGCGGUCAUGAAAGUCUGUAGUGAAAUCCCUGGGCUUAACCCAGGAACUGCUAUGGAAACUGCAAGACUAGAAUUACUGAAGGGCAACUGGAAUUCCAAGUGUAGGGGUGAAAUCUGUAGAUAUUUGGAAGAACACCAAUGGCGAAGGCAAGUUGCUGGCAGAUAAUUGACGCUGAGGUGCGAAGGUGCGGGGAGCAAACAGGAUUAGAUACCCUGGUA